AUUGAACGCUGGCGGCAUGCUUUACACAUGCAAGUCGAACGGUAACAGGGAGCUUGCUCCGCUGACGAGUGGCGAACGGGUGAGUAAUGCAUCGGAACGUACCCAGUCGUGGGGGAUAACGUAGCGAAAGUUACGCUAAUACCGCAUACGUCCUGAGGGAGAAAGCGGGGGACCGUAAGGCCUCGCGCGAUUGGAGCGGCCGAUGUCGGAUUAGCUAGUUGGUAGGGUAAAGGCCUACCAAGGCGACGAUCCGUAGCGGGUCUGAGAGGAUGAUCCGCCACACUGGGACUGAGACACGGCCCAGACUCCUACGGGAGGCAGCAGUGGGGAAUUUUGGACAAUGGGCGAAAGCCUGAUCCAGCCAUGCCGCGUGAGUGAAGAAGGCCUCGGUUGUAAGUACGUACUUUCUAGACGGAAAGAAAGUACGACAUCUUCUAAUACAGGUGUGGAGUGACGGUA
This 459-nucleotide ribosomal RNA is filed under the name uncultured bacterium. RNAcentral's name for it is "bacterial SSU rRNA". It matches the Rfam family "Bacterial small subunit ribosomal RNA", at positions 30 to 477 of the family's 1533-position model. The record is from RNAcentral.